UGAGGCCUUUUUAUGUGUGCUAUCUACACCCACGAAUGUUUUCUAAAAAAGUGACUUUAGCUAUAGAAAAAUGGAUCGGUAUUACGCUAUAAAGGGCGAUAAUGAAAAAAGAUCAGUGGUGCAGCAGGAAGGCUGAAUUCUCACCACUGUCCGUCAUCCCCCUCCUUGACCAGCUGCACCAUGUCUCCGCUCUUCACUGAGAGCUCUUGAGCCCCCUUCUCAUAGUCAGCCAUCACUGUAUAUUUUCCGGCACACUGUUCAAAGUCCAGAUAAGGAAACAGAAAAGGAUACAUACUCAAAUUUGAAAAUUAGGUCAAGUUAAGUCAAAUUUAUCGAGAAUUACAUUAACAUGUAUGAUAGUUCUGUGCUAUGAAAGGACAAACCAAUCAGAUUUUGUCUGCACAAUGUGAUGAAUACAAGUGCAGGCAGGUUGACACCUGUCUGUAAGACAAAAUGACUCACCAGCUUCUUGCCGUUGUCGUCCUCUGGGUCAGAGUUAAGAGGAUCCUCAGCACUGGAAUAGCCGUCAUGCUCCUCUGAGGCAUCCAGCGACAGGGAGGCCUUGUUCCAGCCUGAGGACGGACGGACGGACACACACACACACACACACACACACACACACACACACACACACACACACAGGUGUUUAGUUUACAGCUACAUUCAUCUUCAGCUGCUAUCAAACAUGUGUGACCUGCAGUGAGAUAUCUACAAAGAGUGAAAAAGUGAGAGGAAGAACCACAAAAAGCUCUUUUGAACAGAGAAGGAAGCACAGCUAAUCCCAUGAAUCCCAGCAUGACACAAUCAGUUCCACAACUAUUACCAAAAAACUUUGAGACUUGGGAGACAGGCAUGCACCUUUAUAUUUUAAAAUCUCUGACUCAAACAGAAAAAGUGUCAGGCAGAAAUUCUUCCAUAUCAGUGUUUAUUUCUAUGAUUUUUUAAUUAAGCCUGAAAGCAGUGUGGCGAUGUGUGACAGCAAAGCAAAAACUGAAAAAGGCUAUAGACUUUAGGUUUAUCGCAGUGAAACAGUGGGCCCAACACAGUGUACCUCUCCACUUUGUCUGUAAGAGACUAGGGGUGCUGAACCACCUGGCCCUGCUCAGGUGGAGAGGGGGAGGACCUGCAUCUGAGGGACAGGAGGCAAUAGACACACAGCUAAUCACUCACCCUGCAGCAGCUACAGCCAAUGAAACGUAUCAUUGUUAGAGACUUAGGCUGUGCUCAGGCAUCAUGGAUGAACAAGCAAUCAGACAGGGAGAGUACGCAGUUAUUGUUGAACAGACUAGCUACCUUUGAAGCCGAAUGGCGUGGGGUCACUCUGGCGUUUCGUCUUGUGAUCGGGGCUCGUGGGAGAUCCUGCCGUCAAAAAAAAAAAGAAAAAGGAGGGACAAGGAUGGUUGUUGAGGCAAGAAAGAAAUCAAGACCAAAAUAUUGACAUUCAAAAGGAAAUUUUUGAUGAAAAAAGUGCUUUCGUUAUAUGGUGAACUGCAAAUGUUCAGCUCUGAGUACAAUGACACAGACGUACGGUGAACUAAUUCUAAGAAGGAGAGCACCUGCAAAAUGCACCUCAAAGUUCAGCAACAUAGGCCUUCUUCGGAGAAGAUAUUUUGACAUGUCAAAGCCGGGAAAGCCCAGGGGCAACUAAUAAAAUGAAUGGUGGCUGAAUUCCAUUUAGAUGCUUCAGUUUCAGUGUCCUGGUAUUUCGCAUGCUGUCUUACUGUCACACUGUAAUGGCUUACUGGGGCACGUUAAAACAACAGAAUCCUUGUUAAUGUUUUUAGUAACACCUUUGCUUUUCCCACUAUGACAAGUCAAAGCUGAGAAAGAGGCAUUGUGCUGGAUUGAAUGAAACCAGGGUCUAGAGCUGUGUGAUACCUGAUGACAGGAAGAUCAUCAUGAAUGGUAAUGUAAAACUUUUAUCAUCAGUGGUUGAGGGCUCUGUGAAGGGAAGCAUGCAGUAUUUGACCUACUGAUGAAAUGUCUUUGAAGUAUAUUACAUAUUUGUUCAUGUUGUCCUUCAGAGACUUAGGUUAACCUACUUGUCUUAAGUUAGAUGAGAAGAUAGAUACCACUCUUAUGUCUGUACAGUAAAAAUUAAGCUACUGCUAGCAGCUGUUAGCUUAGCUUAGCAUAAAGACUGGAAACAGGCUCUGUCAAAAAUCUGCAUACCAGCACAGCAAACUAACCAGAUAACACGUCAUAUCUGGUUUGUUUAAUCUGUACAAAAUCUGAAAGUGCAAAAACAACAACGGGGAAGUAUGAGUCAGACUAUUUCUUGGCCUAGAUCAGUAACUGACUUUUCAGUAACUUGUCGUCACCAUAGAGACAUGACAGUGGUAUCGAACUUCUCAUCUAACUGUAGGCAAGAUAGCAAAUAAGUGAUUUUCCAAAAUGUCUAUUCUUUAAACAAAACAAAACAAAACAACAAAAUUCUUUGAUUUUGACUAACUGGAAAUUAAUUUCACAAAUGCAGGAGAUGAUGUGAUAUGUUGGAUAUGAAAUUGAAUGAACAUCCUGCAGUUACCUUUCUGAACUUUGAGGUUACUGAAGCCCUGUAAAGUAAAGCGCUUUUUAGCCACAGCAGCUCUGUCUGAGGUAGGGCUUGUCACAGCCUCAUCUGAUCCAGACAAUAAGGCGGGACAGACAAAAAGAAGGAAGGAAGAAGGAAGGAAGGGUAAAUUAAUCAAGUGUAGAGGAAGAAAAGGAAUUAUGGGGUUAUAUGAUUCAGUGGAAAAGAUGGGUUAAUCACAAAAUACAAUAAGUGUACUGUAGUUUGUACAAUACAUGCACGAAAAAAUAUAAUGUUGGAGAAAUUGUACAUAAGUUAUUCCACUCGUUUACUAUAUUCUAUUACUGUUAUAAUAGUACAUACCAAAUGAAGAUACUAUUCUGUUGUUGCCUUUAUAAUAUGUGUUUGUGUGAGUUUGUUACAGGAACUGUGGCUCAAGGUGAGAGGAUGCAGACAGUUGCAGUUGUGCCCGGCGAAGAGGAAUUGGCUACAUAAGGCUGAGAAAGACAACUCUGCUGUCAAGCUUAGAUAGCAAGCAAGAA
Long non-coding RNA from Perca flavescens (yellow perch), 3054 nucleotides. RefSeq lists it as uncharacterized. The transcript has 2 exons. Lineage: Eukaryota; Metazoa; Chordata; Actinopteri; Perciformes; Percidae. The record is from RefSeq and is a predicted model, not a curated record.